CCACCUGGAUAAUUCAGGCUCAUCUCCCUAUUUUCAAGUCUGUAACCUACAUUCCAUCUACAAAGUUCCUUUUGCCAUACAAGCUAAAAAAUGUAUAGGAUCUAGGGAUUAGGGCACGGACAUCUUUGGAGAGCCAUUAUCCUGCCUACCACCGUGGGCAGAAUUGACGUCUGAGCCAUGCCAGAGAGCGCUUCAGGCAAAGGGAAUGGAAAGAACAAACCUUGGAGGCAGGAGACCACGUGGAAGGUGCAGUGUGUCCUCCCUACUCAGGGGACAUUUAGCUGUAAACUUCUCUGUGGCUUACACCUUUUUCUGCCUGCUUCCAUGGCUGCCUACCUGUGUGUCUGUGUGUCCCCUCAAACCCCUUCCAUAGUUUCAUUUCCUCUCUCUCGCUCUCUCUCUCACCCACACACACUCACACCCCUCCACACGCCCACCAUUCACACACCACAUACGCGCUCACGCUCACACCUUCACCUACUCACACACCACACACACACACCAGCAGUGGGGUGAAGACUUGGUCUACAGCCUUCUCCCUAGGGUAGAAACUUUCCUUCACACCUCAGCCCCUGUCCAGAGGUCA
Molecule: long non-coding RNA, 586 nt
Filed under: Equus asinus (donkey)
Lineage: Eukaryota; Metazoa; Chordata; Mammalia; Perissodactyla; Equidae
Description: lncRNA (ENSEASG00005028408.1)
Source: RNAcentral